RNAcentral lists this ribosomal RNA (363 nucleotides) under uncultured eukaryote. RNAcentral's name for it is "partial 18S ribosomal RNA". It matches the Rfam family "Eukaryotic small subunit ribosomal RNA", at positions 592 to 976 of the family's 1831-position model. The record is from RNAcentral.
CAAUAGCGUAUACUAAUGUUGUUGCAGUUAAAAAGCUCGUAGUUGAACUUCUGGUAGGAGUGUCCCGGCCUUUUUGUUUUUACAAAUUGUAUGCUGUGUGACAUCUCUGGCCAUCCUCCUUCUUUGUUUAAAGAAGAUCUUUCACUGUAAAAAAAUUAGGGUGUUCAAAGCAAAAGUUUCUUUGGAAUAUAUUAGUAUGGGAUGAUAAGAUAGGCUCUAGAUGCUAUUUUGUUGGUUUGCACAUUUAGAGAAUGAUUAACAGGGACAGUUGGGGGUAUUCGUAUUUACAUGUCAGAGGUGAAAUUCUUGGAUUUUGGAAAGACGAACUACUGCGAAAGCAUUUACCAAGGAUGUUUUCAUUAA